GGGACACGUGGUAUCCUGUCUGAAUAUGGGGGGACCAUCCUCCAAGGCUAAAUACUCCUGACUGACCGAUAGUGAACCAGUACCGUGAGGGAAAGGCGAAAAGAACCCCGGCGAGGGGAGUGAAAAAGAACCUGAAACCGUGUACGUACAAGCAGUGGGAGCCUCUUAAUGGGGUGACUGCGUACCUUUUGUAUAAUGGGUCAGCGACUUAUAUUCUGUAGCAAGGUUAACCGAAUAGGGGAGCCGAAGGGAAACCGAGUCUUAACUGGGCGUUAAGUUGCAGGGUAUAGACCCGAAACCCGGUGAUCUAGCCAUGGGCAGGUUGAAGGUUGGGUAACACUAACUGGAGGACCGAACCGACUAAUGUUGAAAAAUUAGCGGAUGACUUGUGGCUGGGGGUGAAAGGCCAAUCAAACCGGGAGAUAGCUGGUUCUCCCCGAAAGCUAUUUAGGUAGCGCCUCGUGAAUUCAUCUCCGGGGGUAGAGCACUGUUUCGGCAAGGGGGUCAUCCCGACUUACCAACCCGAUGCAAACUGCGAAUACCGGAGAAUGUUAUCACGGGAGACACACGGCGGGUGCUAACGUCCGUCGUGAAGAGGGAAACAACCCAGACCGCCAGCUAAGGUCCCAAAGUCAUGGUUAAGUGGGAAACGAUGUGGGAAGGCCCAGACAGCCAGGAUGUUGGCUUAGAAGCAGCCAUCAUUUAAAGAAAGCGUAAUAGCUCACUGGUCGAGUCGGCCUGCGCGGAAGAUGUAACGGGGCUAAACCAUGCACCGAAGCUGCGGCAGCGACACUAUGUGUUGUUGGGUAGGGGAGCGUUCUGUAAGCCUGUGAAGGUAGCCUGUGAGGGUUGCUGGAGGUAUCAGAAGUGCGAAUGCUGACAUAAGUAACGAUAAAGCGGGUGAAAAGCCCGCUCGCCGGAAGACCAAGGGUUCCUGUCCAACGUUAAUCGGGGCAGGGUGAGUCGACCCCUAAGGCGAGGCCGAAAGGCGUAGUCGAUGGGAAACAGGUUAAUAUUCCUGUACUUGGUGUUACUGCGAAGGGGGGACGGAGAAGGCUAUGUUGGCCGGGCGACGGUUGUCCCGGUUUAAGCGUGUAGGCUGGUUUUCCAGGCAAAUCCGGAAAACCAAGGCUGAGGCGUGAUGACGAGGCACUACGGUGCUGAAG
This 1166-nucleotide ribosomal RNA is filed under the name Escherichia coli. Its description in RNAcentral is "partial 23S ribosomal RNA". It matches the Rfam family "Bacterial large subunit ribosomal RNA", at positions 419 to 1590 of the family's 2925-position model. Lineage: Bacteria; Pseudomonadati; Pseudomonadota; Gammaproteobacteria; Enterobacterales; Enterobacteriaceae. The record is from RNAcentral.